Molecule: long non-coding RNA, 199 nt
Organism: Amphibalanus amphitrite
Lineage: Eukaryota; Metazoa; Arthropoda; Thecostraca; Balanomorpha; Balanidae
Exons: 2
Source: RefSeq, a predicted model, not a curated record
CACACUCUUUUAUAUGACGCCGCGUCCUGGUUACCACCAUAUACGGCCCAUGCAGGAUGAAAAUCUUCUGCUUCAUUAGGUUCUUCAGAUUCAUACGCCAAUCACCUCAGAUCACAAGUGAUCUGUGCAAGGAGCAGUGAAAGGUCUUCGUCACUUAUCAGCUAUGCACGUAUCAGCGCAUGGCUAGUCGCCCGUGGUC